UGGGGAAUAUUGCACAAUGGGCGAAAGCCUGAUGCAGCAACGCCGCGUGAGUGAUGAAGGCCUUCGGGUUGUAAAGCUCUGUCUUUUGGGACGAUAAUGACGGUACCAAAGGAGGAAGCCACGGCUAACUACGUGCCAGCAGCCGCGGUAAUACGUAGGUGGCAAGCGUUGUCCGGAUUUACUGGGCGUAAAGGAUGCGUAGGCGGAUUUUUAAGUGAGAUGUGAAAACCCUAAGCUUAACUUGGGGACUGCAUUUCAAUACUGGAAAUCUAGAGUGCGGGAGAGGAGAAUGGAAUUCCUAGUGUAGCGGUGAAAUGCGUAGAGAUUAGGAAGAACACCAGUGGCGAAGGCGAUUCUCUGGACCGUAACUGACGCUGAGGCAUGAAAGCGUGGGUAGCAAACAGGAUUAGAUACCCUGGUAGUCCACGCCGUAAACGAUGAGUACUAGGUGUAGGAGGUAUCGACCCCUUCUGUGCCGCAGUUAACACAAUAAGUACUCCGCCUGGGAAGUACGAUCGCAAGAUUAAAACUCAAAGGAAUUGACGGAGUC
This 550-nucleotide ribosomal RNA is filed under the name uncultured bacterium. Its description in RNAcentral is "partial 16S ribosomal RNA". It matches the Rfam family "Bacterial small subunit ribosomal RNA", at positions 355 to 920 of the family's 1533-position model. The record is from RNAcentral.